CCUACGGGUGGCAGCAGUAGGGAAUCUUCCACAAUGGGCGAAAGCCUGAUGGAGCAACGCCGCGUGGGUGAAGAAGGUCUUCGGAUCGUAAAACCCUGUUGUUAGAGAAGAAAGGGCGUGAGAGUAACUGUUCACUUUUCGACGGUAUCUCGCCAGAAAGCCACGGCUAACUACGUGCCAGCAGCCGCGGUAAUACGUAGGUGGCAAGCGUUAUCCGGAUUUAUUGGGCGUAAAGGGUACGCAGGCGGUCCUGUAAGUCUGGUGUGAAAGCCAUCGGCUUAACUGGAGUAUGGCAUUGGAAACUGGGGGACUGGAGAGCAGAAGAGGGCAGUGGAACUCCAUGUGUAGCGGUAAAAUGCGUAGAUAUAUGGAAGAACACCAGUGGCGAAAGCGGCCGUCUGGUCUGUUACUGACGCUGAGGUACGAAAGCGUGGGGAGCAAACAGGAUUAGAUACCCGUGUAGUC
Molecule: ribosomal RNA, 465 nt
Filed under: uncultured bacterium
Lineage: Bacteria
Description: partial 16S ribosomal RNA
Rfam family: Bacterial small subunit ribosomal RNA
Source: RNAcentral